UACGGAGGGAGCUAGCGUUAUUCGGAAUUACUGGGCGUAAAGCGCACGUAGGCGGCUUUGUAAGUUAGAGGUGAAAGCCCAGGGCUCAACCCUGGAAUUGCCUUUAAGACUGCAUCGCUUGAACAUCGGAGAGGUAAGUGGAAUUCCGAGUGUAGAGGUGAAAUUCGUAGAUAUUCGGAAGAACACCAGUGGCGAAGGCGACUUACUGGACGAUUGUUGACGCUGAGGUGCGAAAGCGUGGGGAGCAAACAGG
This 253-nucleotide ribosomal RNA is filed under the name uncultured bacterium. RNAcentral's name for it is "partial 16S ribosomal RNA". It matches the Rfam family "Bacterial small subunit ribosomal RNA", at positions 524 to 776 of the family's 1533-position model. The record is from RNAcentral.